RNAcentral lists this ribosomal RNA (463 nucleotides) under uncultured bacterium. RNAcentral's name for it is "partial 16S ribosomal RNA". It matches the Rfam family "Bacterial small subunit ribosomal RNA", at positions 28 to 507 of the family's 1533-position model. The record is from RNAcentral.
GACGAACGCUGGCGGCGUGCUUAACACAUGCAAGUCGAACGGUGAACCUCUUCGGAGGGGAUCAGUGGCGAACGGGUGAGUAACACGUGGGCAACCUGCCCCCGGCUCUGGGAUAACUCCAAGAAAUUGGGGCUAAUACCGGAUGUUCACCGCUUCCCGCAUGGGUGGUGGUGGAAAGGGUUUCCGGCUGGGGAUGGGCCCGCGGCCUAUCAGCUUGUUGGUGGGGUAGUGGCCUACCAAGGCGACGACGGGUAGCCGGCCUGAGAGGGUGACCGGCCACCAUGGGCCUGCGACACGGCCCAGACUCCUACGGGAGGCAGCAGUGGGGAAUAUUGCGCAAUGGGCGGAAGCCUGACGCAGCGACGCCGCGUGGGGGAUGCCGGCCUUCGGGUUGUAAACCUCUUUCAGCAGGGACGAAGCGCAAGUGACGGUACCUGCAGAAGAAGCCCCGGCCAACUACGUG